RNAcentral lists this unclassified non-coding RNA (197 nucleotides) under uncultured Ascomycota. RNAcentral describes it as "sequence contains ITS2". Lineage: Eukaryota; Fungi; Ascomycota. The record is from RNAcentral.
UUUCACUCUGUCUUUUGUUUGUCUUUUCGGGGCGAACGGACGGGAUCGUGGGGGUUUCGGCGCGCGCCGUCUCCCGAAAUUGCGACAUGCACGAGCCGUGGGCUGGUUGCAUCCGACGUUGUAAGCGCAGCGCGUUCCUCGUUGGGCCAGCCAGUCCGAGCAAGCUCAGCGACCAGCACCCAAAUGUUAACCAACCA